UACGUAGGGUGCAAGCGUUGUCCGGAAUUAUUGGGCGUAAAGAGCUCGUAGGCGGUCUGUCGCGUCUGCUGUGAAAACUCAGGGCUUAACCCUGAGCUUGCAGUGGGUACGGGCAGACUAGAGUGCGGUAGGGGAGACUGGAAUUCCUGGUGUAGCGGUGAAAUGCGCAGAUAUCAGGAGGAACACCGGUGGCGAAGGCGGGUCUCUGGGCCGUAACUGACGCUGAGACGCGAAAGCGCGGGGAGCAAACAGG
Molecule: ribosomal RNA, 253 nt
Filed under: uncultured bacterium
Lineage: Bacteria
Description: partial 16S ribosomal RNA
Rfam family: Bacterial small subunit ribosomal RNA
Source: RNAcentral